GGACGAACGCUGGCGGCGUGCUUAACACAUGCAAGUCGAGCGGUAAGGCUCCUUCGGGAGUACACGAGCGGCGAACGGGUGAGUAACACGUGAGUAAUCUGCCCUUCACUUCGGGAUAACCGCCGGAAACGGUGGCUAAUACCGAAUACGACGCGCUUUCGCAUGAGAUGCGCGUGGAAAGUUUUAUCGGUGGAGGAUGUGCUCGCGGCCUAUCAGCUUGUUGGUG
This 226-nucleotide ribosomal RNA is filed under the name uncultured bacterium. RNAcentral's name for it is "partial 16S ribosomal RNA". It matches the Rfam family "Bacterial small subunit ribosomal RNA", at positions 27 to 254 of the family's 1533-position model. The record is from RNAcentral.